This 674-nucleotide long non-coding RNA is filed under the name Anas platyrhynchos platyrhynchos (common mallard). RNAcentral's name for it is "lncRNA (ENSAPLG00000022740.1)". Lineage: Eukaryota; Metazoa; Chordata; Aves; Anseriformes; Anatidae. The record is from RNAcentral.
AGGGCAAUCUGGGAAAGUGGCCAAGCACGGUAUUAGGGAGCGAUGCACCCAGCCACAGCCUGCUGGAGGCAGCAGACCUCACCUUCCCCGGGCACUGGAUCAGGCUGUGCUGCUAUUCAAAAUGCUGCUGAGGAGCCAUGUAUUUAUUACCACUGUAUACUACAGAGUUAAUUUUGAAGUCCCAGUUACCAUCAGAUCUUUAAACAGCUCUCAAGCAGAUACUGAAACAGAUUGAUGAUGCCAAGUUGACAUAAACUAGAAGUGUUAAAUUCUGCUGCCAGUUUCAGAUGCUUUGAAAUACUUCAAAAGCAGAGCUCCACUGGCUCCAGAUUGAGGACUGUGCUAAGCACUGUAUACCUAUGUGAUGAAAAGUCCCUAUCUCAGCCAGCUUACAUCUCAAGUGUAAAAAGCUUCCUGUUGACCAAAUGAAUGCUCAGGAGAAACUGGGCAAAGGUCAUCAACGCAAUCCCUAGGAAGAUGUGAAAAUUACAAAGUCUAAUUAUUGUAGCUGUGCAAAUGAAGUGGGGACUGGCAAGAAAGAUGGCCAUAGUCCACUGAAGGACUAAUGAAAGUCUGCUAGCAGGAAUGUGUGGAGAAAGACAUGUAGCCUCAGGAAAAAAGAAAAAAAAAAAUAGCUUUCAAACAUAUAUAGCUUGUACUGAGCAUGUGGUGCU